UUCAAAUUUAAAUGGGAGUUUCAGCACAUGCAUAAUGAUAAUUAUUGUCUAUAAUCAAUGUUAUUAAUGGUGGGCUUGUAGUGCAAGGCGCACCGGGCGCAAAUGGUGGUGCCUCAGAGCAGCAAAGGCGCAUGACCUCACUGAGGUGCACCCAAGCACACCCCAAUGAGGUCAGCCCACCAAUUGCAGAGAAUGACUGGAGGAAGAAGAAGAGGAAGAAGAA
RNAcentral lists this unclassified non-coding RNA (223 nucleotides) under Hevea brasiliensis (rubber tree). Lineage: Eukaryota; Viridiplantae; Streptophyta; Magnoliopsida; Malpighiales; Euphorbiaceae. The record is from RNAcentral.